GGUCUUCACUUGAGAGGGAUGAACCUGGAGGAGUGAGUAGCACCAACACCAGGCCUACCGUGCUUAACUGGCUUGUACGAGAUGGAGAACUCAGCAAGGUAAUGUCCAAUCAUCUCAGGCUUGAUCUCGACUUGGUUGAAAGUCUUUCCAUUGUACACACCGAUGAUGCUUCCAAUCAUUUCAGGCACAAUGAUCAUGUUCCUCAAGUGGGUUCUCACUGGUUCUGGCUUCUCACCAGCUGGUGCCUCUCUUUUCUGAUCAAGCAAAACAAAGCAGUAAUCUUUAGAAGUUGAACCAAUUUGGUUGCAUAGAACAAACAUAAAAUUUCUCAAGCA
RNAcentral lists this long non-coding RNA (335 nucleotides) under Arabidopsis lyrata. RNAcentral describes it as "long non-coding RNA (ALYR_LNC001181)". The record is from RNAcentral. Lineage: Eukaryota; Viridiplantae; Streptophyta; Magnoliopsida; Brassicales; Brassicaceae.